Molecule: small nuclear RNA, 107 nt
Filed under: Chinchilla lanigera (long-tailed chinchilla)
Lineage: Eukaryota; Metazoa; Chordata; Mammalia; Rodentia; Chinchillidae
Source: RNAcentral
AUGCUCACUUUGGCAACACGUAUAUUAAAAUUUGGAUGUUAUAGAGAAGAUUAGCAUGACCCCUGCUCAAAAAUGACAUACAAGUUCAUAAAAUGUUCCCUAUAUUU